AUACGCGUGGAACCUUACCAACCCUUGACAUACUCGUCGUCGCUCCAGAGAUGGAGCUUUCAGCUAGGCUGGAUCGGAUACAGGUGCUGCAUGGCCGUCG
This 100-nucleotide ribosomal RNA is filed under the name uncultured marine bacterium. Its description in RNAcentral is "partial small subunit ribosomal RNA". The record is from RNAcentral.